UACGUAGGUGGCAAGCGUUGUCCGGAUUUACUGGGCGUAAAGGGCGUGCAGGCGGUUUGUUAAGUGCAGGGUGAAAGCUCCCGGCUCAACUGGGAGAGGUCCUUGCAUACUGGCAAACUCGAGGGAGGCAGAGGAAAGUGGAAUUCCCGGUGUAGUGGUGAUAUGCGUAGAUAUCGGGAGGAACACCUGUGGCGAAGGCGGCUUUCUGAGCCUUACCUGACGCUGAGACGCGAAAGCGUGGGGAGCGAACCGG
This 253-nucleotide ribosomal RNA is filed under the name uncultured bacterium. RNAcentral describes it as "partial 16S ribosomal RNA". It matches the Rfam family "Bacterial small subunit ribosomal RNA", at positions 524 to 776 of the family's 1533-position model. The record is from RNAcentral.